GGUUGUUCCCUGGGGGCGGCUUGUCUUGAAAACAAACUAAAAGUGUUCGAUUCACUUCACAACCU
RNAcentral lists this transfer RNA (65 nucleotides) under Conus capitaneus. RNAcentral describes it as "tRNA-Ser". Lineage: Eukaryota; Metazoa; Mollusca; Gastropoda; Neogastropoda; Conidae. The record is from RNAcentral.